GUUGAUUCAAAAAACAAGUCAACAUUGCCAAAAUGGAACAUAUAAUGCAAAAUCCCUUGGUGUACAGGUAUGGCUACCUAGAAGUUGAGAAGUCGUUGCUGAUGCCAUGUUAUAUUCAAUACAAGAGUUGUAGAGUAAGUAGGAUUCUCAUGUGUCAUAGGGAUUGUGGACCAAAUAGAAUUCAAGGAGCUGGGAAAGAGCCAUUGUACCAAUUCUCAGGCAAACCUUCUGCUGAAACCAAAGGUAUCUGAUAUUUCAUCACAAUGACUUCCAAAAUGCCAUCGGUUCUAAACUGCGGGGAACAUAAUCUGGGAUCAACAGGUCCUGGCAAAUUGAACGAUAUGGUAAAAGGCCCAGGGGAAGGAAGCUGCUGAACUUUCAUCUCAUAACCCUUGAGUGAGUUUUUCAAAGCCUCACUCUCUGUAAUCACACCUUCUAUCCGGACUCUCCCUUCUCUCUGUAUGUCAAAUUGGAUAUUACAUUUAUGCCUUACACCAGGAAGCGCAACACGAAAAAUAUAUGCAUUAUCACUACUGCCUAUGUCAACCAAACCAAGUGGCGGUCCAAUUGGACAUGUUUUUGCAGUCCCAGUCAGAAUGAUAUCGGGUUUGGCAUGAGACUUUGCAGAUUCAUUUGGAUUCAUGUUUUACAGCUGUACCAAGCAAGUAAGCUCCCUCACUGAAGCCCUCUCCUUUGAAGAGAUUCGUAGCCAAAAUUGAACGCCGCUCUACUUCAGC
Molecule: unclassified non-coding RNA, 737 nt
Filed under: Hevea brasiliensis (rubber tree)
Lineage: Eukaryota; Viridiplantae; Streptophyta; Magnoliopsida; Malpighiales; Euphorbiaceae
Source: RNAcentral